RNAcentral lists this ribosomal RNA (492 nucleotides) under uncultured bacterium. RNAcentral describes it as "partial 16S ribosomal RNA". It matches the Rfam family "Bacterial small subunit ribosomal RNA", at positions 30 to 507 of the family's 1533-position model. The record is from RNAcentral.
AGUGAACGCUGGCGGUAGGCCUAACACAUGCAAGUCGAACGGCAACACAGUAAGAGCUUGCUCUUACGGGUGGCGAGUGGCGGACGGGUGAGGAAUACAUCGGUAUCUACUUUUUCGUGGGGGAUAACGUAGGGAAACUUACGCUAAUACCGCAUACGACCUACGGGUGAAAGCAGAGGAUCUUCGGACCUUGCGCGAAUGAAUGAGCCGGGGUCGGAUUAGCUAGUUGGCGGGGUAAAGGCGCACUAAGGCGACGAUCCGUAGCUGGUCUGAGGGGGUGAAGAGCCACACUGGAGCUGAGACACGGUCCAGGCUCCUAGGGGAGGCAGCGGUGGGGAAUGGUGGACGAUGGGCGGAAGCCUGAUCCAGCGAUAGCGGGCGGGUGCAGAAGGGCUGCGGGCUGGAAAGCCCUUUUGUUGGGAAAGAAAAGCAGCAGGAUAAUACCCGGCUGUUCUGACGGUACCUGAAGAAUAAGCACCGGCUAACUACGUG